RNAcentral lists this ribosomal RNA (465 nucleotides) under uncultured bacterium. Its description in RNAcentral is "partial 16S ribosomal RNA". It matches the Rfam family "Bacterial small subunit ribosomal RNA", at positions 338 to 795 of the family's 1533-position model. The record is from RNAcentral.
CCUACGGGUGGCAGCAGUGGGGAAUCUUGCGCAAUGGGCGAAAGCCUGACGCAGCGACGCCGCGUGAGGGAAGAAGGUCUUCGGAUCGUAAACCUCUGUCAGCAGGGAAGAACGGUCACUGGGCUAAUCAGCAGUGAAUUGACGGUACCUGCCCAGGAAGCACCGGCUAACUUCGUGCCAGCAGCCGCGGGAAUACGGAGGGUGCGAGCGUUAGUCGGAAUUACUGGGCGUAAAGCGCACGUAGGCGGUAUGUCAAGUCUGGGGUGAAAUCCCCGGGCGCAACGGGUGAACUGCUUUUGAAACUGGGAGACUGGAGUGCAGGAGAGGAGAGUGGAAUUCCAGGUGUAGGGGUGAAAUGCGUAGAUAUCUGGAGGAACAUCAGUGGCGAAGGCGGCUCUCUGGCACGUAACUGACGCUGAGGAGCGAAAGCGUGGGUAGCAAACAGGAUUAGAUACCCGAGUAGUC